This 549-nucleotide ribosomal RNA is filed under the name Trichoderma asperellum. RNAcentral describes it as "eukaryotic LSU rRNA". The stretch from base 160 to 313 matches the Rfam family "5.8S ribosomal RNA". Lineage: Eukaryota; Fungi; Ascomycota; Sordariomycetes; Hypocreales; Hypocreaceae. The record is from RNAcentral.
GCUGUAACGUUACCAAACUGUUGCCUCGGCGGGGUCACGCCCCGGGUGCGUCGCAGCCCCGGAACCAGGCGCCCGCCGGAGGAACCAACCAAACUCUUUCUGUAGUCCCCUCGCGGACGUAUUUCUUACAGCUCUGAGCAAAAAUUCAAAAUGAAUCAAAACUUUCAACAACGGAUCUCUUGGUUCUGGCAUCGAUGAAGAACGCAGCGAAAUGCGAUAAGUAAUGUGAAUUGCAGAAUUCAGUGAAUCAUCGAAUCUUUGAACGCACAUUGCGCCCGCCAGUAUUCUGGCGGGCAUGCCUGUCCGAGCGUCAUUUCAACCCUCGAACCCCUCCGGGGGAUCGGCGUUGGGGAUCGGGACCCCUCACACGGGUGCCGGCCCCUAAAUACAGUGGCGGUCUCGCCGCAGCCUCUCCUGCGCAGUAGUUUGCACAACUCGCACCGGGAGCGCGGCGCGUCCACGUCCGUAAAACACCCAACUUUCUGAAAUGUUGACCUCGGAUCAGGUAGGAAUACCCGCUGAACUUAAGCAUAUCAAUAAGCGGAGGAA